This is a long non-coding RNA of Sinocyclocheilus rhinocerous, 121 nucleotides long. RefSeq lists it as uncharacterized. The record is from RefSeq and is a predicted model, not a curated record. The transcript is spliced from 3 exons. NCBI's taxonomy places the organism in Eukaryota, Metazoa, Chordata, Actinopteri, Cypriniformes, Cyprinidae.
UCGAUUUAGUAGGUAUAGGAAGCGUGAUAAAAUGGCGUACAGUAGGCCUACAGGCAGAAGAAGUCCAGAUUUUGAACGCCCCAACAUGAGGAUUGUUCUUCUGGGGAAGAACGUGUCAGAA